This is a long non-coding RNA of Rhodamnia argentea, 613 nucleotides long. RefSeq lists it as uncharacterized. NCBI's taxonomy places the organism in Eukaryota, Viridiplantae, Streptophyta, Magnoliopsida, Myrtales, Myrtaceae. The record is from RefSeq and is a predicted model, not a curated record. The transcript has 2 exons.
UCGAUCAAUCUCUCGAGAAGCAGCGAAUUCUAUUACUCACCGAUCCGAAAAACGGUUGUUAAGGAUUUGAAAGCAUAUGCCCGAAGCCUCAUCAUUGUGCCUUAGAAGUGUUUACGAAAAGCCCUGUUCCUGCCGUUCGACAAAGAUACCGUGGUCGACGCGGCUGAAGAGACCCGCCAUGAGAGGAGGUUGUUGAGCCGGGAGUCGUCGAACGCAAUGAUUAGAAGAGGAUCCAAGGAUCUGGGUGAUUCAUAACUUGGGCAAGAAACCAAGUUUGUUUGGUCAACUGCACUUAGAAGGACCCCCCCAAGAAACAGAGCAGCAGAGCUCUUUUUCGAGCUGGAAAAUCACUUGCACCAACUGUUUUUCCCCCCCUCUCGUCGUCAUCAUCCAUAUCGCCUGGUUUUUGUGUCUUCGAGAGAGCAAAGGGACCCGCCAUGAGAGAAGUGCCGGUCUUUGUCCGAGCUCCUCUGGUUUUGAUGGGGGAAGAGAGAGAGAGAACUCGUAUGGUGCAACACUUCGGCGUCGUAUCCGUGGCAUGGGGAAAUAGAAAUGGAAUUCUUUUAUCCCUUACAACUACUUUGUAAUUAGCUAAAAAAAAAUUGUUUAAUCA